This 163-nucleotide small nuclear RNA is filed under the name Echinops telfairi (small Madagascar hedgehog). RNAcentral's name for it is "U1 spliceosomal RNA (ENSETEG00000020693.1)". It matches the Rfam family "U1 spliceosomal RNA". Rfam says of the family: U1 is a small nuclear RNA (snRNA) component of the spliceosome (involved in pre-mRNA splicing). Its 5' end forms complementary base pairs with the 5' splice junction, thus defining the 5' donor site of an intron. Lineage: Eukaryota; Metazoa; Chordata; Mammalia; Afrosoricida; Tenrecidae. The record is from RNAcentral.
AUACUUACCUGGCAGGGAAGAUACCAUGAUCACGAAGGUGGUUUUCCAGGGCGAGGCUUAUCCAUUGCACUCCAGAUGUGCUGACCCCUGCGAUUUCCCCAAAUGUGGGAAACUCGACUGCAUAAUUUGUGGUAGUGGGGGACUGCGUUCGCCCUCUCCCCUG